This 21014-nucleotide long non-coding RNA is filed under the name Coffea arabica (coffee). Its description in RNAcentral is "long non-coding RNA (CARA_LNC006727)". Lineage: Eukaryota; Viridiplantae; Streptophyta; Magnoliopsida; Gentianales; Rubiaceae. The record is from RNAcentral.
CAAGUCCAAUUAUAAAUCCACUAACUCUCAUUAAAUAAACCCCAUCCAUCAUUCAAUCCCAAGUAAACCAGCAAGAAAUCCGCAACUAUCUAUGGAAACCUUGUAUCUCUACCUUCCACUUUUCCUAGCAUUAUACAUCUUCACCAAGCACUUCCUCAACAAAAUCCGAAACCUUCCACCUAGUCCCAUCCUUAAUCUCCCCGUCCUCGGCCACCUCCUCCUCAUCAAGAAGCCUCUUCACCGAGGCCUAGCCAAGAUUUCCGACCGUCAUGGCCCGGUCCUCCUCCUGGAAUUCGGCUCACGCCCAGUCCUCCUUGUCUCCUCCGCUUCUGCAGCCGAAGAAUGCCUCAACAAGCACGACAUCGUUUUCGCCAACCGCCCGCGUCUGCUGGCUGGAAAACAUCUGGGAUACAAUUAUACCUCAAUGGCAUGGACGUCCUACGGGGAUCACUGGAGAAAUCUACGGCGGAUAGCUUCACUGGAGAUCUUGUCUUCCCACAGGCUUCAAACGCUUCACGGGAUACGUGUUGAUGAAGUAAAAUUGAUGCUGAAAAGGCUGUUUUCAGCUUCAGAAAACAAGAAAAGCGUGGAUAUGAGGGCCCUUUUCUUUGAGCUGAUGUUGAACGUGAUGAUGAGGAUGAUUGCUGGGAAGAGGUAUUAUGGGGAGAAUGUUGGGGAAGUUGAGGAGGCUAGGAGGUUUAGGGAGAUUGUAGAGGAGACGAUGAUAAUUGGUGGAGCUUCGAAUAUGGGAGAUUUCUGGCCGGUUUUGAGGUGGUUAAAAGUGGGAAAGAAGGAGAAGGCCUUGAGGGUUUUGCAGGAGAAUAGGGAUCAAUUCGUGCAGGAGUUGAUCAAGGGGUUUAGGAGUGCAAAAGAUGCAGAAAAUGGUGGCGGCGAUGCAGAGGAAACAGGGGAAAAGAAGAAAACGUUGAUUGAAGUUUUGUUGACCCUGCAACAGAAGGAGCCUGAGUAUUACAAGGAUGAAAUCAUUAGAAGCCUUAUGCUGGUAUGGUUACUCUGAUAAAUUUCUUUCUGGCUCUUCUUCUUCUUAUUAAUGUAGCUAAUUUGUUAUCAUUUCUAUGUUCCCUAGAAAAUGUCAAACUUCGAUUAAGGACAAAUUAAUAGAAAUUGAAAGUAAUUCGAAGAUUAAGUGACUAAAUCUAGAUGGCCAAAAUUUGCUUUCUUUGAGUAUAAAAUAUAAGCUUACUUCAGUUGUCGUACAGUAAUUCGAUUGCUUCCAUUAUUGUGCAAAGUUAUGAUGAAUAAGAAAAAUUCACUGGUACAGUUCAAGAAUAGAGUUGACCGCACGGUGUGAACAGGAGUAGAUCCCAACGUAUUGGGCGGGGGGCCCACUUUUCUUCGGUGUUGGCAUUUGACAGUGAAGCAGAAAGAAAGUAUGAUGUCUAGCCAACCGAUGUCUAAAGUUGGUUGACUAGAUUUUAGAAGCAAAUGUCACUGAUCAUGCUCUUCAUUCUACCGUUUACCACUUUCUUCUUCUUUUCUCAAGUGCAUUUCACCAUUGACCGCUUUCGUAUUGCAGGUUUUACUAGCAGCAGGUACCGAUACAUCAGUGGGAACAAUGGAGUGGGCAUUGUCACUAAUGCUAAACAAUCCAUCAACUUUGGAGAAGGCAAAAGCAGAAAUUGACAGAAUCAUAGGAAAAGAACGUUUAUUAGAUGAAUCAGAUGUGGCUAAUCUACCCUAUCUCCGGUGCAUAAUUAGUGAAACAUUGAGGAUGUUUCCAGCAGGGCCUAUAAUGCUACCCCACGAAUCCUCCGAGGAAUGUGUGGUUGGGGGUUACCGUGUGCCUGGGGGGACAAUGUUGAUUGUCAAUUUGUGGGCUAUCCAAAAUGAUUCCAAGAAUUGGGAGGAUCCAAGAAAAUUCAAGCCUGAAAGAUUUGAAGGGCUUGAAGGGACCAGAGAUGGCUACAAAUUAAUGCCAUUUGGUUCUGGUAGAAGAGGUUGUCCUGGGGAGGGAUUGGCCAUGCGCAUGGUUGGAUUUGCUUUGGGAUCAAUUAUUCAGUGCUUUGAUUGGAGCAGAAUCAGUGAGGAGAUGGUAGAUUUGGCUGAGGGGCCUGGACUGACUCUGCCUAAGGCUCAACACUUAGUCGCCAAUUGUCGAGCACGACCUGGAAUCAUGAGCCUUCUUUCUCAAAUUUAGACUGCGACGAGGAUGUAUCUUGACUCUUGAGAAAGGGUGGGCAGUAUUUGCCUCGUCUCUUCUUCUUGUUUGAAGAAAAAAUAUGUACUAGUAAAAAAAAAAAAGUCUUGUUUUAUAUAUUUCACUUGUUUCUUUAAGGGAAAAAAUGACGGAGUAAUUUACUUUAUAGUAGUUGCUAUUUGAUGACGCUAAUUUUUGAAUUUCCUUGUUUUAAGUUGGAAUUUUCACAGCACAAUAAUUAUACCUUGCAACUCCUAACUGAAAACAACUCAAACCAUAUAUUUAUUCAUUCUCCUAAUGUCCACACUAAGCAAUAUCUUAGUUGGCAACUUCUUGAUCCGAAAGUUUUCUUUAGUGUUGAUAAUCAAUGAGAGAUAAAAAAAAAUGAGUAUCUAAAAAUAUAAAGGUCUAUCUAUUUGGACAACCGUUCUUAAGACAUAUUUCAGAUAAAAAAAUACAAGAUUAAUUAGAAUAAAUAAAUAUAAAGAGGGGCAGGAAAGAUUAAAUAGACAAACAUAUAUAAGUACAAGGAAGGAUAAUAAUUGUAGUAAAUGUGUGUGUAUAUAUAUAUAUAUAAUAAAUUAGAUAAAUUUUAAAUGUAUUAACGAGUGUCUAGUAAACACCCGAAAAAAUCCAAAAUAUGACGAUUUUUUUCCGUAAGAAAACUCGAAUAUGAGACGUCUCAGUUGCACUUCGUCCCUAGAAACGCCCAACCAAUAUCCCUUCCCUUCUAAAGGCCGCUGCCGCUAGUGCUGAUGACCAGGGCAUGGUCGAUAUGAAAUCAGCCUUCUUCGAACUCACACUGAACAUUAUGAUUAGGAUGAUUGCUGGAAAACGGUAUUCUGGUGAUGGCUCAGGAAAAAUAGGGGGAGUCGCGAGCUUUCAAGAGAUGGUUAAAGAGAGUGUUAAAGUCAGCGGAUCAACAAAUGCUGCAGAUUUUGUUCCGCUACUGAGGUGGAUAGGGCAAAAUAAGCUUGAAAGUCAUCUGAAAACGUUGCAGAUGAAGAGGGAAAAGUUCCUACAAGAUUUGAUUGAAAAGCACGGAAGCAUCACCAGUCAUCGUGAGAACAAGACACUGAUUGAUGUUCUCUUAUCUCACCCAGAGACAGAACCAGAGUACCAUACGGAUCAAAUCAUCAGAGGCUUGGUUCAGGUGAGUCAAGUUUUAAGGAGAAUAGUAGAUCGGUCCCUCGAAAGUGCCAACAUUCCAUAAAAUCAAGUAUAUUAACAACCUAAGAGAAUCCACCUCAAGCGCUAGCUAGCUGUCAUACUUGAAGGGUAGGAUCAUAAGUUCAUAGCAUUAACUUCCCUGCUUUUUCAGCUUUUAACAAUCAGUCAAGAUAACUCAAAAGCAUGUAUCAUGUGUUAUCCGGUAUUGAUAGAGAUAAUAAAUCAAAUUUCGUCUAAUCUUAAUAGCUGAUAAUGUUAUCGGCGGGAAGUGACGCAACAUCUGGAACUAUGGAAUGGGCACUGUCAGUUCUGCGGAACAACCCAGAGGCUUUAAAGAAAGCACAAGAAGAAAUAGACUUUCAAAUAGGCCAAUCAAGGCUGAUAACUGACUCCGACCUUGGCCAGCUUCCUUACCUUCAAGCAAUAAUAAACGAAACCUUUCGUAUGUAUCCUGUGUCCCCUUUUAUCUCCCUGCAUGAAUCAUCCGAAGAAUGUACAGUUGAAGGCUUUGGUAUCCCUCGUGGGACAUUGCUCCUAGUGAACCUUUGGGCUAUUAAUUAUGAUCCUGAAAUAUGGGAAGAACCCACAAAAUUCAAACCUGAAAGGUUCAUGAACUUGGAAGAUCAGAGAUAGAGAUUCGAGUUUAUGCCAUUCGGGCUUGGCCGAAGAGGAUGUCCUGGAGAAAAUUUUGCUCGACGAGUUGUGGGGUUGGCAUUGGGUUCACUUAUUCAAUGCUUUGAGUGGGAAAGACCUGGGGAAGAAUUGGUGGACAUGAGUGAAGGAGCUGGGCAUACUAUGCCUAGAGCUCAACCGCUGCUGGCAAAGUAUAGGCCACCCCCUGAAAUGGUUAAGCUUCUUUGAGUUGUGAUCUGAGUGUUUGACAAUGUUUUCUUCCUACAACACCUAGACGACUGUGGAGAAACAAGUGAACAAGAAAACAGAGGAUGUCUCUCUGUACGUGUUUGUUUUAACUUUUAAUACUACUAUUUUAUCUCUUUCAACUUCGCUUUGUGUUGCUGCAAGAAAGUAUAAAAAAGCAAAGGGUUUACUCUAGUUUCUUGCUUUCUCCAAAGAUCCAGCAUUUUCAUGUGUGUUUCUAUUAUUUGUUAACCAAUGGUUCAGAAUUCAAUCGACGGAGAAGCAAAAUUUUGCCAAGCAUGAGAAAUUCCCAAAAUUCUGAUCAAAUUUAAAUUAUUUGUAAGAUGCUUUUGGUUGCAUGUUGUACUUUAGAGGGUCCUCACGUUCUGUAAUUUAGAGCUUUCUUGCAUUCUAUAACUGCGAGGUAAGGUAAGCAAAAUUUAAAUUGCCCCCAGGGCAUAUGGCGUAGCGGUUGAGGGGUCGGUCUUGAGUUGUUGACUUCUUCACUGAUUGGGGUUCGAUUUGUACCCGCUACGCUGCACAUCCUGACUCACCCGGGAAAACUGUAUGGAGCUAUCGGCUUCCCUCCAAUUUGGUAUGCCGGCUCGGGUCCAAAGGGUUCGGAUCGGGGCAUGUUCCGAAUUACCAAAAAAAAACUUAAAUUUUGAUCAAGUUUAUCUGCUUUGGAAAAACCCCAUUCAACAGGAGGUUGCCCACUGCAAAAAAGCACCCCUAUUGUACAAUUUUUCAAACAUCAUCAAAAUCUUGUUUUUGAGGUUUCAAAGCCGCUAAAUUGAACAUUAGCUCUGAAUCGGAUAAUUAUGUUCAAUGGUGAUGUUUUGCUGAUAAUUACUCUUUAGUUAGUCCAGUGCGCAUGUACGCAUAGUCCAUUCGAUGCCCGUGGGAAACAGGUGUUACAAGGUCCAUGCAUUUUUCAACCAAAGAUAAGUCAAAGAGCGAAUUGCGCGAAAUGUCACUAAACUAUUUCAAAGUGCCGGUUCUGAUCAUUAAACUUUUUUAUUAGCGCGAAAUGUCACUGAACUAGUAAAUCUAUACCGUUUUGGUCACUCCGUGUAUUUGUGCCGUUAGGAGAGACGGAAAUUAACUUUUUGAGGGGUAAUUUCGUCUACACAAUAGUUAAAAAAUUUAUGCCUUCAUUCUUCUUCACCCACAACCAUAGUGCUAUACCAUAUUUACAUUCCCAGCCUUCCCGUACGCAUCAAUCAUCACAGAAUAGGUAACCUCAUCCGGUUCACACCCAAAAGACGGCAUUUUUUCGAACCACUGGACGGCUUUCUCAGGUAAAGAAGACAGCCUGGCGCAGCUAAUUAUGGUGGAAAGGAGGAGUAUUGGACCAGCAAUCAAAGAAUCAAGAGAUGAAUUCGCUGAAGAAGGGUUCUUUUCGUCCUCUGGGGCUGCUGCUUGGCCUUGUACCUGUCCCAUAUCUCAUCGAGAUUGGAUGCUACGGAGAUGAAGUAAGAGGAAAAGGCAACAGCAGCAACCAAAAAAUUGGGAUGGACGAGAAUUUUGAAGUUGGAGUUGGGGUUGGGUGCUAUCUGCAACCCAUGUAAAGUUGUGGAGUGAUUUGCGAUUAAUCUGUUAAAUGUUAUUGUGCCAACUGCCAACAGAAUUGGAAUGGACAUCAAAGUCCAGUGUAGGCCGACGACGGACGGAGCUCUCUAUGCCCACCCACUUCUGCAACAAAACCACCGAACUUUACAUUUAAUUUCUCAUUCUUUUCACUCUUUCCGCAUCGUCAUUUUCGCCACUCCCAACCCCAGAGGUAUGUAAAGGUGACAUUAUCGGGCUUAACUCCUCUCUCAAUCAUAUCCGUAAACAAUUUCUCGGCUCUGUCCAAGUCUCUACAUUUUCUAAACACCUUGAAGGUAACAUUAUACAAAAUCACUUCUUUCUUCAACUUAAGCCUUUCCAGAAAGUAACUCAGCACCAAAGGCGCAGUUUCAGAGUUGGACAUGUUAUUGAGCACAACGGCAGCAUCUUGCUCUACAACUUUGCCACCCAAAUUAGCCAAAAUACUAAUAACGUCAGCUUCUACAGGGUCACACGAGUCCAAUUGUUGGGAAGCUUGGACUAAAGAAGCAUACCUGAAAUCGUAGGAAUUGCGCCUGAGCUUUGAUGCCCUGGAGCUGUUGGGGUUGACCCAGAUAUAGCUUUUUGAGGAAGAAGAGAUGGUUUUAGCAUCUGGGCGGUGAGGAAUUUGGGAAAUUGAGGGGGAUUGUUGUUGGGAAGCCGGUAUAGAGAGGGAAGGUUUUGGAUGGGGCUUGAGAGGAGGAAAAGCGAGGGCGUUAUGGGGGAUGAUUCUGAGUUGGUGGAGGUGAGUGGGAUAAAGAGAGUUACAGAAGAGGUGUGGGUGGCGAGAGAGAUGAGACGGCGAAUAGGCGGCGGCCACCAUUCUUCUCUCUACUCUUCUUCCUUCCUUCUCAGUCGUCACUCACUCAGCAGAGCAGUCAGCAGCAUUUGAAUUUUCUUCUUUUUUACAACUAUGAAAAAUUUCGCCUGCAUUUUUUGGUUGAAGUUUGAUGGUGCCGCCAUUCAGAUCAGCCAUCUCCUUUAUGUCUUUGCCGGAUACGGAACCAUUGAUUAUGUAAAAGCUUCAAGAAAAAGGCUGUGCUGACAAAUUUGCCCCUCAAAAAGUUGAUUUCCGUCUCUCCUAACGGCACAAAUACACGGAGUGACUAAAACGGUAUAGAUUUACUAGUUCAGUGACAUUUCGCGCUAAUAAAAAAGUUUAGUGACCAGAACCGGCACUUUGAAAUAGCUUAGUGACAUUUCGCGCAAUUCGCUCUAAGUCAAAAAAAUAUUUGUCUGCGGAGCGGAACUCCAUUUUCAUAUAAAAAAAAAUGCUGAAAGUCGCCAUAUCUGUUUCAGUACUACCACUCUACCAGUUCCAUCUGACAGCUCACGACCGCAAGGGGGGGAAAAAAGACAAAUAAAAACAAGGAUCUAUGUCAAUCGCAUGUUAUAUGAAAUCUUAACACAAGAUUUAAGAUUGCAAGAUAUCAGCUGAUACAAGGUGGCCUAAGCUGAAGGCGUCUUGCUCCCUAGAAGCUAUAUCACUGAAACAGCAGGGAAUUGUUUAGAAUAUUACAUUGGAUAAGCAUUUUUUUUUUUUUUUGGUAAAUAAAGAUGCAUUAAAAAUAAAUCAAGUCAACAGAGUGCAAAUUAAGGUACAGUCAUCCGUGGGGUGGAAACCCCCUUUAAGUCUUGCAAAAGUAAGGGAAGUACAAAAUUAGGACAUAAUUCAAAAAAAGUGAAGUCUUGAGUGUUGCUUCUUCCCCAGUUGGCAAGGAUGUCUGCACAUUUGUUUGCUUCUCUAUAAUUAUGGUGAAAACAUACUUUCUGGAAUGUAGUCAAUAGCUCCCUGCAAUCAAGAAUAAUAGGUGCAAGUUCAUGAGAAAUAAGAUUAUUUGACUUACACAAGGAGAAUAUAAAGGCAGAGUCCAUCUCCACUUCGAGAGAGUGGAUGUUGAGUUUUUUUGCAAGUUGUAAGCCUUCUCUAAGAGCCCAACAUUCAGCAGAAGGAACUGAACAGAAGCCUAAAUUUCUUGCAAAGCCCGCAAUCCAUAUCCCAUUUGAGUCACGAAUAAUGCCGCCAGCUCCUGCCUGGUUUGUUGGUCCAGAGACUGAACCAUCAGUGUUGAGCUUGGCGAAACCUAUAGCAGGGGGGAUCCAUCUGAUGAAUUUUUCUUGUCUAGGGGAUCUGGAGAAGUGAGAACCAGGCCCUAGUAGGCUUCUGUUCCAGAUGCACGCCUCCGAGCAAGGAUGUAAAUGAAUCUAACCAAACUGAACACCCUAGUAUUCAAGUUUAUUUGAUUAUUUUAACAAGUUUGUAAUUUUAUUCAAAUUUAAUUUAUUUAUUUAUCGAACCAAGUUUGUUUGAUUAUUUUACCGAAUUUGAACGAGCUAUUUAUUGAAGAGUGUGUUUGGAUAGGAGAUUAUUUGAAAUAUUAUUUAGAAUAAUUACUGUAGCACUUUUUGUAAUGUAAUGUAUGUAAAAUAAAAAGAUGAUUGAGAAGAUAAAAAGAUGUGUUGGAAAUUGUAUUUGUGAUGUAAGCAAAUAAUUUCUAGCCAUUAUUUGGCUAUCCAAACACACUGAAUAUAAAACGAUAUUCAAUCUUAAUUUGACUAGUUAGCAAAUCAAACUCGAAUGAACUCAAACCAAACUGAACUCGAUUCAAAUAUCAAGUAGAUUGAUUUAUCUUUCAACAUUUCGGAGUUGUUAUCCAUGUGUUUGAGAAUGUCAUCCUCCUGUAUUGUGUUUUGGUUUUUCAAGUCCCGAACGAUGUUUUUUUGUUGCAGCAAAGGAGGAAAGUUUUAGAGAGCUUAGGAUAUUACAAUAAAAUAGCAGUCAGGAGUAGCGAAGGAGGAAACAUAUGAUUCAGCCGAAAGGGGAACGAAAAGAAGAAGAAGAAGAAGAAGAAGAAGAGGAGAAGUUAUGGUUUUAAUUUAUUUGAAGAAUUGCCAUAUAUAUAUAUAUAUAUAUAUAUAUGUAUUUUAGGUAAAAGAAGAUUAUAUACUAGUAGUAGUUUGGAAAAAUAAGGAAUGCGAUCAUAAUAAGUAAAUGCAAAAAAGUUUGCCGUAAACUCCUUUGAGUGUUUGUAGUUGUCAAAGCUCUUUGUCAGGCUGCCCCCAGUGGUUCGAAAAUGUGCUGAGGACCUCUUUUGAACUAAUUUGUUACAUGGAUGGAAACCAUACGCACACCAAAAGAUUAGAAAUUUUCAUGCUAUCCCUUGUUUCUACAUUUAAUAAUAAUAAUAAAAAAAAGUGGAUGAGGCGUUGAUCUACAAAGUUGAGGUUUUAGAAUUUGGAGAUCUUGAAUUCAAUACUUAUCAAAGUGUGAGUCUCUAAACUUUGUGUUAGUAUUUAUCCCACCAUAUGUAUGUAGAUUAGUUGUAGUUCGAAAUAUUUGUAAUCUCUUAUAUUAGUCCUAUAGUUGUAGAUUAUACACGAUAUUAUCGAAGAAAAUAUUUAAAGAAGAAAAAAAAUGCAAUCUUAGUGCCCGAUAUGUAAAAUUGGUAACCACGAAACAAAUCUUGAUGAAUCCACGAAAUUCACCAUGAUCCCAAUAUAUGGGAAGAACCCACGAAAUUUAAGCCUGAAACGUUUGGGGGAUUCGUGUUUAUGGCAUUUGGGUAUGGUCAAAGAGCAUGUCUUGGUGAAAAUUUAGCUAGACAAGUUGUGAGGUUGGCAUUGGGCUCACUCAUUCAAUGCCUUAAUUGGGAAAGAAUUGGUGGAAAUGAGCGAAGGAGCUGGGUUUACUAUGCCAAGAGUUCAACCGCUGCUGGCAAAGUACAGGCCGCGCCCAGAAAUGGCUUCUUUCUGAGUUGUGAUCCUGGUGUUUUGGGAAUGUUCUUUGCCACCUGCACCACUGGGGAAUCGACUGUACGAGGAAAACAGAGGAUUUCCCACUGUAGUGCGUGCGUACCACGUUGGCUUACCACUACUUUUUAUAUUUUACCUUCACUUGGUCCAUAAUUUUUGCAGCUCAAGGAUGUGAAAAAGUCCGUGCCGUCCUGAUUCCAUUGUAAUGUAAGCUGGUCAAAGCUACAAGCCGGUUAUAUACGACGCUACUCCAAGAAAGGAGAAAAAUAUAAGCAAAGCAAGGAGGCCGUAAAGGAUGGAUAUCAGUAGCAGAUCAUUGACAGAUAAGAUACUAAUAUUCAAGAAUGAGAGGGCCGUAUCCCUUACGUCAAAGGAGUUUUGAAUCUUGAUUACUGAUACAUUCUUGAAAUAACAAUAAUGAAUUACUAGAUAAAAUAGGCAUACGGCAUAAGUAUCAUUCCAACACUUUGGAUUUAACCUCGAUCUCUAUGGAUGCUUCAUACUGCUACCUCCUGCUUUUUCCCUUCCUGUAUUUACUUACCAAUCAAAUCAUCAAAAAGUUCCGGAAUCUCCCACCAAGUCCACCUCUUUCCUUACCCAUAAUUGGCCAUCUUCAUCUCAUCCAGAAACCACUCCACCGAGGACUAGCUAAGAUCUCCGAUAAAUAUGGUCCAAUACAGUUUCUUCAUUUUGGUUCUCGGCCUGUCCUGCUUGUAUCUUCACCCUCAGCUGCAGAAGAAUGCUUCACCAAGAAUGACAUAAUCUUCGCUAAUCGGCCAAGAUUUCUCGCCGGAAAACACCUUGGCUACAACUAUACAACUCUGGGAUGGGUCUCAUAUGGCCAACACUGGCGCAACUUGAGAAGAAUAGCUACUGUGGAGAUCUUAUCUGCUACCCGAAUUCAAGCUUACACGAGCAUCCGUGUUAACGAGGUCCAUUCAUUGAUCAAGUACCUUCUAAUGGCCUCUAAAGCUAGUGACUCUAGCACGGUUGAGAUGAAAUCGGCCUUCUUUGGGCUGACACUUAACAUCAUGAUGAGGAUGAUUGCAGGAAAGCGAUACUACGGCGAUGAUGCCCAGAACAAGGAGGAAGCCGCAAGGUUCAAAGAGAUAGUUAAAGAGACUUUUCAACUCAGUGGGGCGACAAACAUAGCAGAUUAUAUUCCAUUAUUGAAGUUUUUUGGGCAACAGAAGCUUGAAAGCAAGCUGAAGACUUUGCAGGCGAAGAGGGAUCAAUUCUUGCAAGAUUUGAUUGAAGAACACAGAAGAACCGUGAGGAGUUCCGACAGUGAGAAGGGCAACAAAACAAUGAUAGACGUUCUCUUGUCCCUCCAACAGACCGAGUCCGAAUACUACACAGAUGAGAUCGUCAAAGGUAUGAUUGUGGUAAGUAACUAUUUAAUCCUCUCGAUAUCUUAAUCCAUCCGUCUGUUAAGCAUACAGAAAUUCUGAUCUUUGUCUGGGAUCAGUCCCAUGAAGGAUUGAGUCUGAAAAUCUAAGUCAAAGCUAGUUUGAUUGCACUAGUACCAUCUCCGUGUUGCCUUGCAUUUUUUAUUGAGCUGUAAUGCUAUGUUUCCUACACGUAACAAUUCUAGGGAUAAUUUCAGAAACCUCCCCUGAGAUUUCUAACAGUUUCACUGCCCUUCUCCGAGGUUUCUAAAAUAUCAGAAACCUCCCCUACUAGGUCAUUGGGGUCCAAUUGUCACAUCAAUCAUGGAAGAAUGACUUAAUUACCCAUACAACUUAAGAGGUAUUUCCCAAUUAUGUUCACAUGAUUAGUUAAACUGUUAUUAACUAGAUUUAACAGAAAUGAUGACAAUUUAUAAGUUUUUUUAAAAAAUUUCUAACAUGCCAUUACAAAAAGGGGGCCAUAUAUAGGCACCUUUCUAUGAUUGAUAAUUGAUGUAUGCGAGUAGAAGCAAUGAUUCAAACUUUAGUGUUUUUUGUGGAAUAAGAGAAAUAGAGCUUCUUUAGGUAUAUCUAAGGAUUUAGGAGAUUUGAAAAGGAGAUUUGCUCUUAAAUUUUUUUCAAAAUUUUGGUGAUUGUGAAAAUUUCAAGAUCAGCCUCUAAGAUUUUUCUGCUAUUAAAUUUUGGAAAUUUUUAUUAUUUGAUUGCAGUUGUUAAGGUAAUUCUUGAUGGUGAUGCUUAAUAGUGACCCUACAAGUGAAAAAGAAUAGUUUGGAUCAAACAAAAAAAGGAAAAUAUGAUUUUAUGUAGUUUGUAUUAUGUUCGGUAUGAUCUGCUCCAUUUGAUGAUUGGUAUUUAAUUAUAGUGUUUUUUCUUUUUUAUCCUAAUUAUUACUUUUAUUGUCAUCGAAAUUAGGUGCUGGUUUUGUAUGAAAUAUACGUAAAGAUUGUUGGUUGUAUGCUACUAAAUUGAAAAACCUUUUAAUUAUGACAAUUUUUUUCUUGUUUGUGAUUAUUCAACAAAUGUUUUUUUUUAAAUCGAAAUGUUGGUUGUAAUAGGAUUCACAUGCUUUGUUUCUCUUGUAGGAGAUUAUGCAAUUGAUGUGUUAUAAUAGAUGUAAUAGUAUGAUAUUACACAUGCAAUAUGUAGAUAAGAUUUUGAGUUGCUAAACUUGUUGUAGAGUUAGUAAAUUGAUAUUUUGUUUACGCUCUAUGAAUACGGUAACAAUUACACCGUCUCAAAUUUGAUAAAGUUAAAAUAGAUAUAUAUUGUUCGUAGGAAAUUAACUAUCUAAUGCAAAACUUGAGGGUAGUUAUGGAAUUUGACAGGUGCCGAACUUGUGCAAUAAUAAUUACUAAAAAGUCCUAAUUACCAUCACAAUUAAUUAUAGAACGAAUUCAAGUACUGGAGCAGGACCCUAGGUGAGCAAUGGGUUACUUGAUUCACCAUGUUCCCAAAGAGUUUGCUUGAUCCGAUAUACCAGAAUUGUCUAUAAAAAUACUAAGUUUGCAUACAAUGGCAAGUAGGGUCGAUUCCACAAGGAACGGGUAGGAAGUUGUUUCCUUCCAAGUCAAUAGAAUAAAAAAGAGGGACAAUUAAUGGGAUGAAACUAAAAAUAAAAUAAAUAAAAUUCAAGAGCUAACUCAACAACAAUUUAGUAAAAAUAGCAAUUAAUAAAAUUCUACCCAAAUGAUUAACUGCUCAGGCACGGUCCAAUUAAAUGAUCAUCGAUGCAAAGAUAUUUCAUUCAUCUGUCAUUAGGUUGGUUAUAGCUAUCAACAAGCUUUGACAACCAGUUCUUCCUUACUUUUUCGACAGUCAAGGUACGACCAUUGACUGUUUCUCUAACCAGAAAACAACUCUAGGUACGACCGUAAGAAUUUAAUUAUCCAAUUGGAUUAAAACUAGAAGAACCCAACCCUGAUCAAUAAGCACGCUAAGAGGGUUUAUUUAAAUCAGAUCUUACGUUUCUCCAACAUAAAGCCAAUUAUGGUGGUUGUUACUAGUUGUCAACUAAACGAAUAAUUACGGAUUCAAUUUAAUUAACGUGGCAGUAGGCUAUUAUGUUAAAUCAAAUACCCGACCGUUGAUAUCCAAUUAAUAAAAUACUCAUGAACAAUUAAUUCAGGAAACGUACGAAUAGCAAUAAGUUGGAAGAAAUAAUGAAAAUUCGAUUAGAUGUUACAGAUAUUAUGAACCGUGCUUUCGCGUCGACCUUCGGGUAGAGGAGAAAUCUAGCCGCUCCUUAUCAUAUCCAUCUCGCGUGAUUUAAUUGAAACCAUUCAAUUAAUUCCCGAAAAAUUGGGAAAGAUGAAACAACGAGGAAAACGAAUAAAAGGGCUUAAGUAUCUCUUGGUCUCUGUGUUUGUACUGGAGCAAGAAAGUAAAAGUAAAGCACUAGAGAAAGUCGGCUGCCAAAAGACAAGAGCCAAGCCGCCCGUAAGAAAUUGUCUAAUAGGAAGAGACAAAAGCUACAACUAUGAAGGUCGCGUGAUUCUGGCUUCUUAAUUGCUGCCGAAGAGAAAAAAAGGAAAAGAAAACGUCUGACACUAAAAAGCAAAAGCUAAUCUAAUUACAAAGACGUAAAUCUGGCUUUUUUCCUCUCUUUUGUAGCGGCGCCAGGAGAAAUCCACGAAAGGUCAGGAGCAAAGCUUUUCUUUUUGGGGUUUUAAUCCCAUGCCUCUCGUGGUUCACGUGGACCCAACCUCCUAAUUGCUCACUUUUUGCUGCCACCAAGCUCGCGGGUCCGGCUUUAGAUAUAUCUCCUCACUUUCUGGCGUGGCACGUCAUGAAACAAAGAGUCUUUUGGAAAUUUUUCUCGCGCGAUCACUUUUAACACCAAUCACCUACAAUUGAUACAAAUAUGAAAUAUGAGCAAAUUCUCAAUUCUUAGCAUCAUGAGUAGCCAAAAUUAGGACAGAAUAAUAGUGCAAAAUAUGCCCAAUAAUUGCUCUAUCAGAAUUAAAUUGUUUUCUCUCUUCUAAUACCAAUUUUAUAUUAUUUUUGUAUUUGAAUUGGGCUGAUUGUUACUAGCUAAUUAGCUUUAGGGGUGGUUUCCGAUAUUUUGAAAACCUCAGUGAGAUUGUCAAAAACCUCAGGGGAGGUUUCUGAAAUUAUCCCAUAAUUCUAUCUACGUCUAAUACUAUUUAUACUAAGAGGGUUGCUCACGAUAAAUGUUCUAACAUUAUCAUACACCUCCUCUUAUCCCUUCAUUUGUAUUUCUAUCUUAUUUACAGAAUCAAGAUAAUAGUAUAAAAAAUUCAAUCCCAUUGUACUAUUGAAUCAUGACGUGCAGGAAAAAAGGAAGAAGUAAAGAUAAAACGAAUGAGUAGCACAGUAUUCACCUUUAAUCCAUGCUUUAGACUAGCAGAAAAUAAUGCAAAUUUUGUCAACAGCAAAUGUUAUCAGCGGGAACCGACACAUCAUCCGGAACAAUGGAAUGGGCACUCUCCCUGCUGCUCAACAAUCCACAAGUUCUAAAGAAAGCCCAGCAAGAAAUUGACGCGUACGCUGGCCAAUCAAGGCUUAUCAAUGACUCGGACUUGGGUCAGCUGCCUUAUCUUCAUGCAAUUAUUAGUGAAACACUUCGCAUUUGCCCGGUGGCCCCUAUUCUGGUGCCUCAUGUGUCAUCCCAAGAGUGUUGUGUUGGAGGCUACAAUAUCCCCGGUGGCACGUUGCUGUUAGUGAACUUAUGGGCAAUGCAAAAUGAUCCCAAGGUUUGGGAAGAACCCACAAAAUUUAGGCCUGAGAGGUUUAUAAGUUUGGAAGGGCAAAGAGAUGGAUUUGUGUUCAUGCCAUUUGGGUUUGGCCGAAGGGGAUGUCCUGGCGAAAAUUUGGCCAUGAGCGUUGUGGGGUUGACAUUGGGGUUGCUUAUUCAAUGUUUUGAGUGGGAAAGAGUUGGGGAAGAGUUGGUGGAUAUGACUGAAGGGGCAGGGCUUACCAUGCCAAGGGCUAAAGAAUUGAUGGCCAAGUGUAAACCACGGCAAGAAAUGGUCAAACUUCUUUCUCAAUCGUGAUUGGGAUUUCAGAAGUUGGUACCUCUAAGAAAAAAACCCAUCGCAGUGAUGACAACAUUGUGAACAAAGUGUGCUUGUUUUGCCAUUAUUUUUGUGAUUCUAUACCUUCUUGUAUGUGGAAUAAAGGAUUUGAUUAAAAGUUUAAAAUACGGUUAGAGACACCUUAUUUUAAUUUAGUACGUUUUAUUGUAGGAAUAGAUGCAUAUGCAUACCUUUUUAUUUUGAUAGGUGAAAAUAAAACAACAAAAAAAAGACUUACAAAUAUGUUAGAUCUUCAAUGUUCAUGAAUAAAACUCUCUCUCUUUUUUUUUCACUUUUACUUCCUUUUGGAAAAGAAUUAAAACUCUUCUUUUUUUUUUUUACAGUUUUUUAUUUGUUCAUGAUGUGGGAGGUCUAUGUUCAUUUGAAAUCAAGAGCUCACCCCAACUUUUGUAGAAACUAGAGGGGAAGUUAGUGUAGUUUACCAACAAGAUACGUGUCUACUUACUUGAAUAACCAGUAAUAAGAUUUAAGGAAGAAAAACUUGGGCUACUCCAGUUAGCAAUGCCCAAGUAUCAAAAAAUGAAGAGCCCAAAUUCAUGUGAAAAUGUAUACAUGUUCUUGGUUAAUUUCACAAUAAACUUGUAAUCCUUUUUUUUGGCAAUUCAAAUUAAAUUCCAUUUUGCCUUUGGAUAUAACCAAGAGUUAUGUCCCUUUUAAUGAAUCUAGUAUAUUUUGGAGGGCUUUACUACUUCAAAUUUUUUUUUAAAAAUUUUAUCAGUAGUAAUCAUGAAAAAUAAAUCAUUUUCAACUAUGUAGUACUGAAAGAAACAUGCGACAGAAAAGAGUGGCAUCUCCAUAUAUUUUCUGAGCGUCAAAAUAAAAUUAUAAACUUUCUACCACUAACUCUUUUAUCUAAACCAUGCAAUUUUGCGUGCAUCAAAAUAGCGUAAUUAUUCAGUUUUCGUGUAAGGAAAUGAAAAUCUUAGGACUUGCUAGGAAAAACAUGGCGGUCUGGCUUCAGUGAAAUAUUUUUGCUAGAAAAUGUCGACUAACUUACCUACCUUUUAAUUCUUAUACUCUUUUCGUCCCAUUGAAAGUGUUAUACUUUUAUUUUAGAAUGUCUCAAAAUAUUUGUUCUGUUAAUAAAGUCAAAAUAUAUUUUAGUCUCUCUCUUCAACAUAGUUCAUCUCUCUAAUCAUAUACACGUUACCAUUCAAAUUCAAAUGUUGAAUUUGUAGGAAUAAAAUUGAAAAGAGAAGCACAAACAUCACAAUCAAACCACUAUUUUUAAAAAGUUUGAUUUUUGAAACAGAACCAAAUAAUUAGGACGGAAGGAGUAUAAACUAAAAUGAAAAAGGAAGUCUAGUGAUAAUUGAACCGUCAAAUAUCAUAAACCUUUUCAUAAAAUUGCUGGCUGAUCAGUAUAGCAAGUAGAUGAUGAUGCUUGUGUAGUUGCUAUCAUCCUUAGGUAUGAAAUUUUUCAUGAAGACCCCUUAGUAAUAAGUUUCUGAAUAGCUUCCCACAAAAGUUUCCGGGAGGUAAAUUAACAAUCUUUUGCAUUACUUUGGCCCCGGAGACAUGACAAUAAUAUCUUAGACGAAAGAACUUAGCCCCGACAAAUAUCAUGAACUUAUUGACAAUAGGUGGCUUAAUUUGUAAGAAAUAAAAAAUUAUUUAAAAAUAAGAAAAAAAAAUUAUUUAACGAAAUGCAAGUAACAUCUUGAACGAUUUUUCCUUAUUAACUCACAAAGUUAAGUUCCACUGUGGUACUUGCCAAUGGAACAAAGUUGACAGCAAAUCUUGUUGGUUGAAUGAGUCUCCUGACACAGCGUAUUAAGCAAUAAGCAUUCAUUGGUAUACCCAAACCUAUUACUCUGUAUAAGUGUACGUAUCAUAUUCACCCGUACCGUACGUCUCUUUCUACAUUUAGACACUCCCAUAUUUCUAUAUUAAUUUCACUUUUGCUAAAGGAUUACUGGGUAAAGUGUAAAGCACGGCAAGAAAUGGUUAAACUUCUUUCUCAAUUGUGAUUUGUGGGACUGUUUAACUGUCAAAAUUAAUGUGAAAACGUAUGAGAAAGUAGAAUCCUCGAAAUCCUUUAUUUUUUCAAAAUUUAGUUUUUUAAAUACUAAAAAUUUUUAAAAAUACUCUAAAAAGUAAUCUAAAUUUUUUUAAUGUUUAAAAAAUAUUCCAAAAUAUAUUUUAAAAACUCUACUACUCUUAAAUAUUUCAAAAUAUUUUCUAAAAAUAUUUCAAAAUAUACUCUAAAAACUCUGCUACAGUAAAGUUUUCAAAAAAUAUCUCAAAAAACAGCUAAUCCAAACGGAGUAAUUGAUAAACCCUAAGACAUUUAGAUGGUGAAGAAAAAGUAAAAUUAACACCACUCUUUUAACUGUUGGAAUACUUUCAAGGUACUAAAUUAUACCUUCUUAGUACCACUCGAAAGAAAGAAAAACAAGCCUUGGAAAGAAAUAGUAUCUAGAAUAAAUCUACUGCACAAUUUGGGAAUUAUUCAUCAUUCGAUCAAGUGAUGAAUAAAUCAUACGCAAGUUCAUGUAUUAGCAGAUUAAUUAUUGAAUCUAUUCAUAAAUCAGAGGAUUGCGACACAAGGAAACUUGCAGAAUUGGACAACUAUAUGGUCCCGAAGAAAAGAAAUUGACUUGCUUCAAGAUUUCCACAAACUUGGAGCGGGGGGCGAGUGGUGACGGACGACUAAGGAACUCAAGAAAGUUAAAAUAGCCAAUUACGCAAAGUUUUGGAUCCAUUAGUUGAUUGACUGACUUCUAUUGCUAGCCGGUCAAUGCCCCCUUUUAUAAAUCAACAAGAACUUUUCCAUGGAAAAUGUGUCUCUCAUUUUGGCCAAAAUUUCCGAAUCAAUACCUUCAGUCUCCGGUCAAAUGAAGUCGUAACUUGAUAAGCUUACAAGACUUUCGUUUUCCUUCUAGAAAAAAAAAAAGAAUAAAAUAAUUCCCUUGCCCUUCAACAACCUCAACAAUAAGGUUCACUAUGAGAGAAAUUUUUUUUCCAUCUAACACACUUACGUUACUCCUAAUUCAUUGCAUAAAUACGUACAAUCACAGUUAUUGAACUUAGUAUAUUUUAGUAAUUUUUUAAAUUAAUUAUCUUAUUUUUAAAAAAUUAAUACCUGAGACUCUUAUUAACGAGUGUCGACUGAAUACCUGAUAUCAAACCGAUCGAUGCUGUAGAUAGAGAAUGGUUGUUUGCAUGGAAACCAAAUCUUUUUUUUUUUUUUUUUAUUUGCUCCUUCCCCUCUUAUACAACCACCAUAUGUAGAAAGUUGAGUUCUUGGAAUCCUCCAGUGACACAGGUAUGCUGGUAAGCAAAGCACUUGAAUAUCUUCCAGAAGAAAGAUAUGUCGCGCAGCCUUAAUUGACGAAGUAAUCUCGUCAACUUUUUUUUUAAAAAUUUUGUACUGUAUAGAAAUUCCCCGGAGUUGGAGGGGCAGUUGCUUCUAAUCAAAAUAUGCUUCACACUUCACGCCACACGCACACGGUUAGGACCAGAAGUCUCAUAUGCCCUUUUCGGUGCAUUUCGUCUAAAUUCUUUUGUAGCGUGAGAAUUUAUUUAUUUAUUUAUUUUUUAAAAAUGGCUACCUAUUUUUAUUGCUUAAUUAACGAUGCUUUCGGUGCGUUUGAGUUUUCAAGAAAAUGAAUUUGAAGAGUAACAAACAUUAAGAUUAUUUGAAAUAUAUUAUUUUUUUUAAAAAUACUGUAUGAGAUAAAAAGUUGAUGCACUGACAGUAUAUACACUUUUAUCAUUAUUAGAUGCAUGACACAUAAUUUGAAUUUAAAUUUGAAACUCAAAUUUUGCAUAUGUGUCGUAUAUCCAACCGUAAUAGUGUAUACAUCGUUAGUAUACAUAAGAUUUACUCUUUGAAGUUUUAAUCUAUCCUUUGGUUUCCCAUUCUCGUGACAAAAGCACAGCUGCGCGAAUCAGUAAAAUUGGACGUAGUAAUUUGCUGUAAUGUGCAAAACCGAACUUACCUCCAUUUAGGGUUCUUGUCUAUAGAUUGACCAUGUGGUUCGGCAACACUUUUAGUGCAAAAAUUUUCAGCAUGCAACAGUCGUCCAUAGCUUAAGUGAGUUAGGCGCAGCACAUUGUUUGGCCCCGUUCCAUAUGACUUCAUUUCGUUGCCAACUUUUCUUGGAGGACUGGAAUCUCAUUAAAUAGAUCCAGCACGAUUGGUCCACGACAAUUAUUUGGUUCUGCUUUGCUGUCGUGAACUUGUGCAUUGAUUCUGUGCUUUAAUUUCUCUUGAUUUGUAGAAAAUUUGCUAGUUUUUAACUGCAAGAUUUUGUUACUCCGAAGAUUUUUAAUUUUUAUGCAGGAAAAAAAAACGCACUUCCAAACUCUGGGUACAAUAUUUGAAAAAAAAAAAGGGUAGAUGACAGGUAAGCUAAGUAGUGGUUUAGUGCCACUAUUGAAAUGUAAAAACCUCCAACCCUACACUUUUCCGACCCAUGCACCGCUCCCCGUGCCCGAACCCAAGAAGAUUUGUACAAGAAAACAGAAAAACUUUGGUGGGGUCUUGCUCGCACUAAUUUGUCACGAUUAAAUGUAUUCUUGUUUAAAAAAUUCAUGCAGAUGUGUAGUGCAUUCGUCUGAUCUGGUGGUGAUUUAAUCCUCUUCGAAUUAUUCUUGAACCUCUUCAGGUCCUAUUCCUCCUCCAUACUAUAGGAAGUUAUCGUAUCGAAAAAAAAAAAACAGAAAAAUCUCAACUCAUUAGCCUUAUUUAAUUUGAUUUGAAGCAUAAUUUUCUUGAAGAAGAGGGGCCGGGCCACACUGAUUGUAUUAGAGCAUCCACAAUGCUAUUACACUUUGUGGAGUGUAAUCCACAUGCCACGUCAGCAUUCCACUUUCUCCUCUUUUAUUACACUUUCACUCACAAUGGAUUACACUCCACAAGGUGUAAUAGCAUGGGUCCACAAUUAAUCAAAUAUUUAUUUUAAUAAUGCAUAACUCAUAUCCCAUAAAUAAAUAAAGUAAUUUUUAAAACUAAUUUUGUUAUUUUUAAAAAAUAAAGUACUAACUUUCGUUAAAUUUUGUACAUUUUGAAUUUUUUUAUUUUCUAAAAAUGAUAUUAUUAAUUUUUAAGUUUGAAUAAUAUAUCUUUUUCUAUGUUUCAAAAAUAAUAUAUUGUUAUUUUUUAAAAAAUAAUUAUGUAGGAAAUUAAACAAAUAUUUGAUACUUCAAAUGCGAAGAUAUCAUAAUAAUUCAUACUUAAUUAAUAAUUCGGAAUGUAAUUAGUUGAACUCCAUAACAUAAUAUUACAUAAGUUAAAUCAAAUAAAAUACAAAUAAUAACAAAAUGAAUACUAAUUUUCAUUGUCAUUGCCUUCGAAUCGUUCCCAAAUAUGCUCGACCAAGUCUGAUCGAAGUUGAUCGAAGUCUGAUCCCAAAUAUGCUUUGUGCUGGAAUUUUAUCGUUGUCAUAGGGCCCACAUUCAAUGGAUUACACGCAUCAUACAUGUGAUGCGUGUAAUCUCCAUGACACGGCUCCAGCGGUGUAAUGGCUCCCCGUUACUGAUUACACCCCCAUUGGAGCUGCCCUUAUGUAUAGUAUAGCUCGUAAUGGUUUUAAUCUACUCAUAACAAAUUCACUCUCCCAAACUCAAAAGUCAUCUUUGUAUAUAGAAUUUAGCCAACGAUUAUAAUUGCACAUUUUAAUAGGAAGUUUCAUAGGCUGGCUGUCAAUUGCAACCUUACAAGAAAACGAGAUGAAGACCACUCAGAGUCACAAGUCCAACAAUAAAUCCACUAACUCUCAUUAAUUAAACCCCAUCCAUCAUUCAAUCCCAAAUAAACCAGCAAGAAAUCCGCAACUAUCCAUGGAAGCCUUGUGUCUCUACCUUCCACUUUUCCUAGCAUUAUACAUCUUCACCAAGCACUUCCUCAACAAAAUCCGAAACCUUCCACCUAGUCCCAUCCUUAAUCUCCCCGUCCUCGGCCACCUCCUCCUCAUCAAGAAGCCUCUUCACCGAGGCCUAGCCAAGAUUUCCAACCGUCAUGGCCCGGUCCUCCUCCUGGAAUUCGGCUCACGCCCAGUCCUCCUUGUCUCCUCC